ACUCCUACGGGAGGCAGCAGUGAGGAAUAUUGGUCAAUGGCCGCAAGGCUGAACCAGCCAAGUCGCGUGAGGGAAUAAGGCCCUAUGGGUCGUAAACCUCUUUUGUCAGGGAGCAAAGCCGCACACGAGUGAGCGGAAGGAGAGUACCUGAAGAAAAAGCAUCGGCUAACUCCGUGCCAGCAGCCGCGGUAAUA
RNAcentral lists this ribosomal RNA (194 nucleotides) under uncultured bacterium. RNAcentral describes it as "partial 16S ribosomal RNA". It matches the Rfam family "Bacterial small subunit ribosomal RNA", at positions 335 to 525 of the family's 1533-position model. The record is from RNAcentral.